This 97-nucleotide ribosomal RNA is filed under the name uncultured bacterium. RNAcentral describes it as "partial 16S ribosomal RNA". It matches the Rfam family "Bacterial small subunit ribosomal RNA", at positions 1386 to 1482 of the family's 1533-position model. The record is from RNAcentral.
CACACCGCCCGUCACACCAUGGGAGUGGGUUGCACCAGAAGUAGCUAGUCUAACCUUCGGGAGGACGAUUACCACGGUGUGAUUCAUGACUGGGGUG